RNAcentral lists this ribosomal RNA (254 nucleotides) under uncultured bacterium. RNAcentral's name for it is "partial 16S ribosomal RNA". It matches the Rfam family "Bacterial small subunit ribosomal RNA", at positions 524 to 776 of the family's 1533-position model. The record is from RNAcentral.
UACGGGGGGAGCAAGCGUUGUUCGGAUUUACUGGGCGUAAAGGGCGCGUAGGCGGUCGUGACAAGUCACUUGUGAAAUCUCCGGGCUUAACUCGGAACGGUCAAGUGAUACUGUCGGACUAGAGUACAGAAGGGGCAACUGGAAUUCUCGGUGUAGCGGUGAAAUGCGUAGAUAUCGAGAGGAACACCGGUGGCGAAGGCGGCUUUCUGGACAGUGACUGACGCUGAGACGCGAAAGCGUGGGGAGCAAACAGG